This 477-nucleotide ribosomal RNA is filed under the name uncultured bacterium. RNAcentral describes it as "partial 16S ribosomal RNA". It matches the Rfam family "Bacterial small subunit ribosomal RNA", at positions 28 to 507 of the family's 1533-position model. The record is from RNAcentral.
GAUUAACGCUGGCGGCGUGCAUAACACAUGCAAGUCGAACGAUGAAACUUAACUGAUUUCUUCGGAAUGAUUUUAAGUGGAUUAGUGGCGGACGGGUGAGUAACGCGUGAGUAACCUGACUUGGAGAAGGGGAUAGCCUUUGGAAACGAAGAAUAAUACCCUAUGAUAUGAUAAUAUCUCAUGAUAUUAUCAUCAAAGAUUUAUCGCUCUAAGAUGGACUUGCGUCGGAUUAGUUAGUUGGUGAGGUAACAGCUCACCAAGGCAGCGAUCAGUAGCCGGCUUGGAGGAUGGUACGGCCACAUUGGGACUGAGACACGGCCCAGACUCCUACGGGAGGCAGCAGUGGGGAAUUUUGCACAAUGGGGGAAACCCUAAUGCAGCGAGGCCGCGUGAUUUAGAAGGCCUUCGGGUUGUAAAAAUCUUUUGUAUGGGAAGAAAAUGACAGUACCAUACGAAUAAGGACCGGCUAAUUACGUG